UGAAAGAUUAAGCCAUGCAUGUCUAAGUACUUGCAUAUAAAUGCGAAACCGCGCAUAGCUCAUUAUAACAGUCCUAAUUUACAAGUAUAUGAUUUAUCUACACGGAUAACUUUGGCAAUUCUGGAGCUAAUACGUGCAUUGAUGCCUAACUUUUGUUGGGUGCAGUUAUUAGUACAAAACCAUCCGACUUCGGUCGGUUUUGUUAACUCUGGAUAAUGUUGCUAAUCGCGUGGUCUCGUACCAGCGAUGUAACUUUCAAGGGACUGAUCUAUCAACUUCGACAUUAGUGUAUUGAACUAAUGUGGUGUUGACGGAUAACGGAGAAUUAGGGUUCGACUCCGGAGAAAACGCCUGAGAAACGGCGGUUACAUCCAAGGAAGGCAGCAGGCGCGAAAAUUACCCACUCUCGGUUCGAGGAGGUAGUGACGUGAAAUGGCAGAAUCCUUUUCUUUAUGGAACGGAUUAUUGCAAUGAUGUGAGUUUAUAAACCUUACAAAUUUGCUAUGAGAGGGCAAGUCUGGUGCCAGCAGCCGCGGUAAUUCCAGCUCUCAUACUGCAUUGAAUAGUUGUUGCGGUUAAAAAGCUCGUAGUUGGAUCUUUUACGUUUGCGUGGUCUGCUCAUUGAGUGGUACUACUGCAACGUAAUUUGUAUGGGAUUUCUGUAUUCUUUAUUGAGUGCAGUGUCUUAUACGAUUACUUUGAAUAAAUCGGAGUGAUUCAAACAGGCGUAAGCUUGAACGUUCUUGCAUGGAAUAAUAAAACAAGACAUUGGGCUUGUUUUUUGGUUUUAAAGACCAAUGUAAUGAUUAAAAGGAACAAUUCGGGGGCAUUCGUAUUGAUGCGCGAGAGGUGAAAUUCGUUGACCGUAUCAAGACGAUCUAAAGCGAAGGCAUUUGCCAAGAAUGUUUUCAUUAAUCAAGAACGAAAGUCAGAGGAUCGAAGGCGAUUAGAUACCGCCCUAGUUCUGACCGUAAACUAUACCAUCUAGCGAGUUCCUAGCGGAUUCAAUGCCCUUGGAACGAGCUUCUCGGAAACGAAAGUCUUUCGGUUCCGGGGGAAGUAUGGUUGCAAAGUUGAAACUUAAAGGGAUUGACGGAAGGUCACCACCAGAAAUGGAGCCUGCGGCUUAAUUUGACUCAACACGGGAAAUCUCACUCAGUCUAGACACUAAAAGGAUUGACAGACCAAUAGCUCUUUCAUGAUUUGGUGGUUGGUGGUGCAUGGCCGUUCUUAGUUCGUGGAGUGAUUUGUCUGGUUAAUUCCGAUAACGAACGAGACAAGAGCUUUAUUAAAUAGAUUCAGGGAACUUUUUGCUGGAAUGAAUCUUCUUAAUGGUAUAAUCAGUGUUUAACUGAAUGAAACUUGGCAAUAACAGGUCUGUAUGCCCUAAGAUGUCCGAGGCCGCACGCGCGCUACAAUGUAUUCUGUAGCGCGUAUGUAUGUUUCGAUAUCGAAGGAUUGAGAUAACCGUGUCAAAUUAAGCCUUAUUAGGGCUUGGCGAUUGAAAUUAUUUGCCAUAAACAAGGAACUUCAAGUAAGUGUGAGUCAUCAGCUCACGCUGAUUACGUCCCUGUCCUUUGUACACACCGCCCGUCGCUGCCCGGAACUGAGUUGGUUCGAGAAGACUGGGGAUUGGCUGACUUGCGUGAUUUCGGUUACGCUUGUUGUCGAGAACCAGUUUAAUCGCAUCGGCUUGAACCGGGCAAAAGUCGUAACAAGGUGGCCGUAGGUGAACCUGCAG
Molecule: ribosomal RNA, 1741 nt
Filed under: Turbatrix aceti
Lineage: Eukaryota; Metazoa; Nematoda; Chromadorea; Rhabditida; Panagrolaimidae
Description: SSU rRNA
Rfam family: Eukaryotic small subunit ribosomal RNA
Source: RNAcentral